Molecule: long non-coding RNA, 522 nt
Organism: Dipodomys spectabilis (banner-tailed kangaroo rat)
Lineage: Eukaryota; Metazoa; Chordata; Mammalia; Rodentia; Heteromyidae
Exons: 2
Source: RefSeq, a predicted model, not a curated record
CAAGAUUAAUCUAUAAACAUUUAAUUAGAUAUAUAAGGAUAACAGGGAAAUAACUUAUUAUCAAAAUUAAAAGUGACAUAUGUACAGAGAUGCAAACCUGCAGGAAAACUGCGCAAAGUUCCUUCUUCAGUCUCAAUUUAUUCCGGCAAAGGAUGAGACUAAUGACCACCCAACAGGUCUACGAGCCAGACCAACUCCCACUGCUGCAGACAAAAUCUACUGUCUUUCUUUCAUCCUUGCCCAAUAGCAAAUGAUAAACUGGUAUGCAAUUACAUGCAAUACAUAUAGAAAUAGUUAUAGACAAUCAUCUUUUCCCUGGAAACAUACAUUUCAGAAACUCAGCCUCCUGAAGAGGAGUGAAUACCACCAGAAAACAAGCAAGAUAUAAGGAUCUGAUUUCUGCUUAUACAGGUGAUUCCCAUUAUUUAAAAGAGAUUCAAGCUUAAGCAUGUUUAUUUCUAUUUAUAAAAGGUCACUGCCCUGACUGGGACAAUGUUAUGAUUAUAGAUAUUGCUUACUAGA